ACGCGCCAAACCUUACCAAGGCUUAAAUGUAGAUUGACCGGUUUGGAAACAGAUCUUUCGCAAGACAAUUUACAAGGUGCUGCAUGGUUGUCGUCAGCUCGUGCCGUGAGGUGUCAGGUUAAGUCCUAUAACGAGCGCAACCCCUGUUGUUAGUUGCCAGCGAGUCAAGUCGGGAACUCUAACAAAGACUGCCAGUGCAAACUGUGAGGAAGGUGGGGAUGACGUCAAAUCAUCACGGCCCUUACGCCUU
RNAcentral lists this ribosomal RNA (250 nucleotides) under uncultured bacterium. RNAcentral's name for it is "partial 16S ribosomal RNA". It matches the Rfam family "Bacterial small subunit ribosomal RNA", at positions 959 to 1210 of the family's 1533-position model. The record is from RNAcentral.